UACGUAGGUGGCGAGCGUUGUCCGGAUUUAUUGGGCGUAAAGAGCCCGCAGGCGGCUCGGCAAGUUUCAGGUGAAAUCUCCCGGCUUAACCGGGAGGGUGCCUGGAAAACUGCCGGGCUUGAGGCAGGGAGAGGGAUGCGGAAUUCCCGGUGUAGUGGUGAAAUGCGUAGAUAUCAGGAGGAACACCUGUGGUGUAGACGGCUUUCUGGACCAUAGCUGACGCUGAGACACGAAAGCGUGGGUAGCAAACAGG
Molecule: ribosomal RNA, 253 nt
Filed under: uncultured bacterium
Lineage: Bacteria
Description: partial 16S ribosomal RNA
Rfam family: Bacterial small subunit ribosomal RNA
Source: RNAcentral